AGCCGACACGUUAAAAUUCACUUAUAGGAGUUCCAUGAGGUCCUUGAAGGCAUCUUCGCAAGAGUUCAUUGCGGUGACUGCACAAACUUUAACAAGCACAUUCAAAGAAGCUUCGAGAAGCUCCAUGACUUCAUCUGAAAGCAGCGCCGUUCGGACAUUGAGCUCUUGUUUUUUGAUGGCUUUGUAGAUCUCAUGGAAUUUCUGCAAGUAAAUUUCUAUUUGGUGGCU
Non-coding RNA from Marchantia polymorpha subsp. ruderalis, 228 nucleotides. NCBI's taxonomy places the organism in Eukaryota, Viridiplantae, Streptophyta, Marchantiopsida, Marchantiales, Marchantiaceae. The record is from the annotation of a GenBank genome assembly.